UCCGCAAGCCAAUCGGUCGCGGGUGCCAAACCAGAAGCGAUCCGGAAGGGCCGCUCCAAGGAGGCAUUCGAGGAAAGUCCGGACACCACAGAGCAAUGGCGGUCGAGUAAUUCGACCCGGGGAAACCCGAGGGAAAGUGCCACAGAAAUCAAACCGCCUAAGUCGUCACGCGUUCGCGCGCGGCGACCGGUAAGGGUGAAACGGUGCGGUAAGAGCGCACCAGCGUCACGGCGACGUGACGGCUUGGUAAACCCCGCUUGGUGCAAGAUCAAACAGGACCGUUGACGCUGCUCGCCGAGGUCCAGGUGGAUCGCAGGGGACGACAGGAAACAGUUCGCAAGAGCAGUGGAAUUGAGACCCCGCCUCUCAAGCCGCAAGGCUCCGGCCCCAAGCUAUGAGAGGCAGACAGAUGGCCGAUCAACGACAGAAUCCGGCUUACAGGCUUGCUAAGGGA
This 454-nucleotide RNase P RNA is filed under the name Thermoleophilia bacterium. Its description in RNAcentral is "RNase P RNA component class A". It matches the Rfam family "Bacterial RNase P class A". From Rfam's summary of the family: Ribonuclease P (RNase P) is a ubiquitous endoribonuclease, found in archaea, bacteria and eukarya as well as chloroplasts and mitochondria. Its best characterised activity is the generation of mature 5'-ends of tRNAs by cleaving the 5'-leader elements of precursor-tRNAs. Cellular RNase Ps are ribonucleoproteins. Lineage: Bacteria; Bacillati; Actinomycetota; Thermoleophilia. The record is from RNAcentral.